Molecule: ribosomal RNA, 200 nt
Filed under: uncultured bacterium
Lineage: Bacteria
Description: partial 16S ribosomal RNA
Rfam family: Bacterial small subunit ribosomal RNA
Source: RNAcentral
AGUGAACGCUGGCGGCAGGCCUAACACAUGCAAGUCGAACGGCAGCACAGGGGAGCUUGCUCCCUGGGUGGCGAGUGGCGGACGGGUGAGGAAUACAUGGGAAUCUGCCCCGACGUGGGGGAUAACGGAGCGAAAGCUUUGCUAAUACCGCAUACGAUCUACGGAUGAAAGCAGGGGACCGCAAGGCCUUGCGCUCAUGG